CCUACGGGUGACUGCAGUGGGGAAUAUUGGGCAAUGGACGCAAGUCUGACCCAGCAACGCCGCGUGAAGGAAGAAGGCUUUCGGGUUGUAAACUUCUUUUAAGGGGGAAGAGCAGAAGACGGUACCCCUUGAAUAAGCCACGGCUAACUACGUGCCAGCAGCCGCGGUAAUACGUAGGUGGCAAGCGUUGUCCGGAUUUACUGGGUGUAAAGGGCGUGCAGCCGGAGAGGCAAGUCAGAUGUGAAAUCCGCGGGCUCAACUCGCGGCCUGCAUUUGGAACUGCGUGCCUUGAGUAUGGGAGAGGUAAGCGGAAUGCGUGGUGUAGCGGUGAAAUGCGUAGAUAUCACGAAGAACACCGGUGGCGAAGGCAGAUUACUGGACUGCAACUGACGGUGAGGCGCGAAAGCGUGGGUAGCAAACAGGAUUAGAUACCCUUGUAGUC
RNAcentral lists this ribosomal RNA (442 nucleotides) under uncultured bacterium. RNAcentral's name for it is "partial 16S ribosomal RNA". It matches the Rfam family "Bacterial small subunit ribosomal RNA", at positions 338 to 795 of the family's 1533-position model. The record is from RNAcentral.